AAGAAGCUACUUUGUGCGUAUUGUUAAUUAAGUUUUAACCUUUAAGCUGUAAUAGGGAGUUUUAUAUCGAAGCUGGAAUGUCAUGCCUCCAUUGCAGAGGACGACAGGAACGUUUCUGCAAACACCCACUUUGAGGUGUGGUGGUUUAAAACUUUCUUACUUGCAUACGGCAAGAUGUAGCGAAAGC
This 187-nucleotide non-coding RNA is filed under the name Bacillus spizizenii. Its description in RNAcentral is "6S RNA". It matches the Rfam family "6S / SsrS RNA". From Rfam's summary of the family: E. coli 6S RNA was the first non coding RNA to be sequenced, but its function was unknown until recently. It consists of 184 nucleotides that fold into an extended hairpin structure with a large single-stranded internal bulge. Lineage: Bacteria; Bacillati; Bacillota; Bacilli; Caryophanales; Bacillaceae. The record is from RNAcentral.